This 576-nucleotide ribosomal RNA is filed under the name Escherichia coli. RNAcentral's name for it is "partial 23S ribosomal RNA". It matches the Rfam family "Bacterial large subunit ribosomal RNA", at positions 665 to 1239 of the family's 2925-position model. The record is from RNAcentral. Lineage: Bacteria; Pseudomonadati; Pseudomonadota; Gammaproteobacteria; Enterobacterales; Enterobacteriaceae.
GCCGAAGGGAAACCGAGUCUUAACCGGGCGUUAAGUUGCAGGGUAUAGACCCGAAACCCGGUGAUCUAGCCAUGGGCAGGUUGAAGGUUGGGUAACACUAACUGGAGGACCGAACCGACUAAUGUUGAAAAAUUAGCGGAUGACUUGUGGCUGGGGGUGAAAGGCCAAUCAAACCGGGAGAUAGCUGGUUCUCCCCGAAAGCUAUUUAGGUAGCGCCUCGUGAAUUCAUCUCCGGGGGUAGAGCACUGUUUCGGCAAGGGGGUCAUCCCGACUUACCAACCCGAUGCAAACUGCGAAUACCGGAGAAUGUUAUCACGGGAGACACACGGCGGGUGCUAACGUCCGUCGUGAAGAGGGAAACAACCCAGACCGCCAGCUAAGGUCCCAAAGUCAUGGUUAAGUGGGAAACGAUGUGGGAAGGCCCAGACAGCCAGGAUGUUGGCUUAGAAGCAGCCAUCAUUUAAAGAAAGCGUAAUAGCUCACUGGUCGAGUCGGCCUGCGCGGAAGAUGUAACGGGGCUAAACCAUGCACCGAAGCUGCGGCAGCGACACUGUGUGUUGUUGGGUAGGGGAGCGU